Molecule: non-coding RNA, 91 nt
Organism: Rhodofomes roseus
Lineage: Eukaryota; Fungi; Basidiomycota; Agaricomycetes; Polyporales; Fomitopsidaceae
Source: the annotation of a RefSeq genome assembly
CCUUCGAUAGCUCAGUUGGAAGAGCGCGAGACUGUAAUCGGGUGCUUUCAUAAUUAUCUUGAGGUCGCUGGUUCGAUCCCGGCUCGAAGGA